This 253-nucleotide ribosomal RNA is filed under the name uncultured bacterium. RNAcentral describes it as "partial 16S ribosomal RNA". It matches the Rfam family "Bacterial small subunit ribosomal RNA", at positions 524 to 776 of the family's 1533-position model. The record is from RNAcentral.
UACGAAAGGUGCGAGCGUUACUCGGAAUCACUGGGCGUAAAGCGCGCGUAGGUGGACUUGUAGGUCGGUUGUGAAAUACCUGGGCUCAACCCAGGAGGGGCAGCCGAAACCACAAGUCUUGAAUACCUGAGAGGGUGGGGGAAUACCUGGUGGAGAAGUGAAAUUCGUAGAGAUCAGGUGGAACACCGGAGGCGAAGGCGCCUGCCUGGCAGUGUAUUGACGCUGAAGUGCGAAAGUGCGGGGAGCAAACAGG